Bison bison bison is the source of this 110-nucleotide ribosomal RNA. Lineage: Eukaryota; Metazoa; Chordata; Mammalia; Artiodactyla; Bovidae. The record is from Ensembl.
GUCUACAGCCAUACCACCCUGAACAUGUCGGAUCUUGUCUGAUCUCAGAAGCUAAGCAGGGUAGGGCCUGGUUAGUACUUGGAUGGGAGGAAAAGUGUCUGCUUUAUGUU